AGAAUUUCCUCUAAGGAAAUAGAAUUUCCUCAAAGGAAAUAGAAUUUCCUCAAAGGAAAUAAUUAUGCAGCAAAUUCCCUAAGGGAAAUCUUUUUCCCUUGAGGAAAAAUCUUUUUCCUUCAGGGAAAUUUGAUUUCCCUUGAGGAAAAGUACUUUUCCUCUGAGGAAAUUGUUGAAAAAAGGGGCAUAACUUUUUCAACAGUGGUGCUAGAUCCAAAAAAAUUUAGGACAAAUAUCAGGGAACCAAUACCAACCAAGUUAUCAACUUUGUUUUGACUUAACUCCAAAAAUUAAGGUGACAACUUUUGCACUCAGCGGAAUUGCAAACUUGUCCCGGAGACUGUU
RNAcentral lists this long non-coding RNA (345 nucleotides) under Mytilus galloprovincialis (Mediterranean mussel). Lineage: Eukaryota; Metazoa; Mollusca; Bivalvia; Mytilida; Mytilidae. The record is from RNAcentral.